AGGUGGACCUCGGAUCAGGUAGGGAUACCCGCUGAACUUAAGCAUAUC
RNAcentral lists this ribosomal RNA (48 nucleotides) under Caliciopsis pinea. RNAcentral's name for it is "partial 28S ribosomal RNA". Lineage: Eukaryota; Fungi; Ascomycota; Eurotiomycetes; Coryneliales; Coryneliaceae. The record is from RNAcentral.